Molecule: long non-coding RNA, 903 nt
Organism: Tympanuchus pallidicinctus (lesser prairie-chicken)
Lineage: Eukaryota; Metazoa; Chordata; Aves; Galliformes; Phasianidae
Exons: 4
Source: RefSeq, a predicted model, not a curated record
CUGCUCCUGGCCUUUGCUUUUUCACGAUGGAAGGAGUGGGACCCUGACCUGUGUGCUUACAGAAAGGUGAAGGAGAAGAAAGAGGGAGAAACCAAAGGAGGAGCAGCUGAUCAAGACUUCACACGUCCUGCUCAUUAUCCUCGCUUCACACAAGAGGAAGCGGGAAGGAUUGAUAGCACCCAAUUUUGUACAAGUGUUGCCCGAAGUGAAAUACCCGGCCAUGUCUGCUCCUGCAACGCUGCAGCUGUGCCAUGUCUGAGGCUGUGAGAGGAGAGACUUUAUAGGGCCUGAUAAAACCUUUUAUUAGACCCACAGAUCCAGCUGGAAUAGGCAGACAGGUUGUAGCUGCGUAGACCUGAAGAUGUGCCUAUAGGCUCUCAGGACCCUGCAUGCCUUCCCCGUUGCUGGAGGUGCUCCAGGCCAAGUUGGGCAACCUGAUGUGGUGAUUGGCAUCUAGCCCACAGCAGAUGAAAUAGCAGAGAUGGGGGAGAGCUGCAGUGCCUGCAGGUGGCAGGAAUGCCACAAACCAGGAGAAAGCUGGGGUUUGGUUGUCAUCAGAAGAGGAUCUCGUGCACAGUGUAAGACAUCGGACAGUGCAGGUGAUGCACUGAGCAGGUUGCCAGCCCAGGGUGCUCAGAGCUCCCAUUUAAGGCAGCAGUGCUAGGUUAUAUUCUGACCUACACCGUUAUGCACCAUCCACCAGUGCUGCAUCACCCAUCCUGCUGGCUGAUGCUGAAAGGAAGAAGGCAUGCUCCCAAGGGCUGGCAUCUCUUCAAAUCAGGGACUCCAGAAACCGUUGCCUCACUGAAGAAAUCGCCAUCGUUCUUCUAACUGGUUGGGUCAAUACGAGGGUGUCACUUGGGAAAUUUGGGGUUUAUUGCUCCCCUUCCCACCAUCAACUCA